GACGGAAGGUGCAAGCGUUGCUCGGAAUCACUGGGCGUAAAGGGUGCGUAGGCGGCUUGGUGGGUCUGGUGUGAAAGCCCCGGGCUCAGCCCGGGAAGGGCGCUAGAAACUGCCGAGCUGGAGUGCCGGAGGGGAGAGUGGAAUUCCUGGUGUAGCGGUGAAAUGCGUAGAUAUCAGGAGGAAUACCGGUGGCGAAAGCGACUCCCUGGACGGCGACUGACGCUGAGGCACGAAAGCGUGGGGAGCAAACAGG
This 253-nucleotide ribosomal RNA is filed under the name uncultured bacterium. Its description in RNAcentral is "partial 16S ribosomal RNA". It matches the Rfam family "Bacterial small subunit ribosomal RNA", at positions 524 to 776 of the family's 1533-position model. The record is from RNAcentral.